UACCUGGUUGAUCAUGCCAGUAGUCAUAUGCUUGCCUCAAAGAUUAAUCCAUGCAUGUCUAAGUAUGAACUAAUUCAGACUGUGAAACUGCGGAUGGCUCAUUAAAUAAGUUAUAGUUUCUUUGAUGGUACCCUACUACUCAGAUAACCGUAGUAAUUCUAGAGCUAAUACAUGCACCAAGUCCCGACUCUUUAGAAGGGAUGCAUUUAUUAGAUAAAAGGCUGGUGCGGGCUUGCCCGCUUCUCCGGUUAAUCAUGAUAACUCGAUGGAUUGCACAACCCUUGUGUUGGUGAUGCUUCAUUCAAAUUUUUUCCCUAUUCGAUGGUAGGAUAGAGGCCUACCAUGGCGGUGACAGGUGACGGAGAAUUAGGGUUCGAUUCCGGAGUGGGAACCUGAGAAAUUGCUACCACAUCUAAGGAAGGCAGCAGGCGCACAAAUUACCCAAUCUUGACAUGGGGAGGUAGUGACAAUAAAUAACAAUACUGGGCUCAUCGAGUCUGGUAAUUGGAAUGAGUACAAUCUAAAUCCCUUAACGAGGAUCCAUUGGAGGACAAGUCUAGUGCCAGUAGCCACGGUAAUUCCAGCUUCAAUAGCAUAUAUUUAAGUUUUUGCAGUUAAAAAUCUCGUAGUUGGAUCUUGGGUCAUAAAGGUUGGUCUGCCUACUUGGUGUGCACCUGCCCUUCCGUCCCUUUUGCCAGUGGCGUGCUCCUGGCCUUAAUUGGCUGGGCCACGGUUCCGACGUUGUUACUUUGAAAAAAUUAGAGUGCUCAAAGAAAGCUUAUGCUCUGAAUACAUUAGCAUAGAAUAACGCGAUAGGAAUCUGGUCCUAUUGUGUUGGCCUUCGAGACCGGAGUAAUGAUUAAUAGGGACUGUCGGGGGCAUUCAUAGUUCAUUAUCAGAGGUGAAAUUGUUGGAUUUAUGAAAGACAAACCAUUGUGAAAG
Molecule: non-coding RNA, 942 nt
Organism: Picea glauca (white spruce)
Lineage: Eukaryota; Viridiplantae; Streptophyta; Pinopsida; Pinales; Pinaceae
Source: Rfam